RNAcentral lists this ribosomal RNA (478 nucleotides) under uncultured bacterium. RNAcentral's name for it is "partial 16S ribosomal RNA". It matches the Rfam family "Bacterial small subunit ribosomal RNA", at positions 28 to 507 of the family's 1533-position model. The record is from RNAcentral.
GACGAACGCUGGCGGCGUGCUUAACACAUGCCAGUCGAACGUGAUUUUUGUGGAAAUUCUUUCGGGAAUGGAAAUGAAAUGAAAGUGGCGAACGGGUGAGUAACACGUGAGCAACCUACCUUACACAGGGGGAUAGCCGUUGGAAACGACGAUUAAUACCGCAUGAGACCACAGAAUCGCAUGAUAUAGGGGUCAAAGAUUUAUCGGUGUAAGAAGGGCUCGCGUCUGAUUAGCUAGUUGGAAGGGUAAAGGCCUACCAAGGCGACGAUCAGUAGCCGGUCUGAGAGGAUGAACGGCCACAUUGGAACUGAGACACGGUCCAAACUCCUACGGGAGGCAGCAGUGGGGAAUAUUGCACAAUGGGGGGAACCCUGAUGCAGCGACGCCGCGUGAGCGAAGAAGGUUUUCGAAUCGUAAAGCUCUGUCCUAUGAGAAGAUAAUGACGGUAUCAUAGGAGGAAGCCCCGGCUAAAUACGUG